RNAcentral lists this ribosomal RNA (496 nucleotides) under uncultured bacterium. RNAcentral describes it as "partial 16S ribosomal RNA". It matches the Rfam family "Bacterial small subunit ribosomal RNA", at positions 29 to 507 of the family's 1533-position model. The record is from RNAcentral.
AUGAACGCUGGCGGCGUGCCUAAUCCAUGCAAGUCGAGCGAACAGACGAGGAGCUUGCUCCUCCGACGUUAGCGGCGGACGGGUGAGUAACACGUGGAUAACCUACCUAUAAGACUGGGAUAACUUCGGGAAACCGGAGCUAAUACCGGAUAAUAUAUUGAACCGCAUGGUUCAAUAGUGAAAGACGGUUUUGCUGUCACUUAUAGAUGGAUCCGCGCCGCAUUAGCUAGUUGGUAAGGUAACGGCUUACCAAGGCAACGAUGCGUAGCCGACCUGAGAGGGUGAUCGGCCACACUGGAACUGAGACACGGUCCAGACUCCUACGGGAGGCAGCAGUAGGGAAUCUUCCGCAAUGGGCGAAAGCCUGACGGAGCAACGCCGCGUGAGUGAUGAAGGUCUUCGGAUCGUAAAACUCUGUUAUUAGGGAAGAACAAAUGUGUAAGUAACUAUGCACGUCUUGACGGUACCUAAUCAGAAAGCCACGGCUAACUACGUG